GCCCCCUCAACCUUGUCAUAGGUCCAGCCUUCAACCCCGACUUGUCUCCUGGGUCAGCCCUGAGCCCUUUGGGGAUUCACAGAGACCAAAACCUUAGAAGAUGCUGCUCAGUUGGAUUGAAAUAUGCCUCUUGUGCUUUCUGCCACACACUCACCAACCACACACACACAAAGCAAGCUCUGGCUCCUUAACAAAGACAGUAUCUGUGGAAAGCUUCCUUAGUCUUGGAUGGAGAAGAAGAAUUUUCUCCUUGAGCUCUGCCUCUACACUUACAAUGGAAGCCAGCAAAGAAGACCAAUCUGAAGCAGAAGGAUCUCAAAUUCCCUCCCUACCUUCCUACAAAAAGCAAGGACCUCCAGACCUCAACCCCCAGCCGGCCCUGGUAACCCGACCUUACUCUCAGCUCUUUCUACAGGACCUGGGGAUGGUGAGAUCUGGAAAGAGAGGAGUGAGGGAAUGUGGAGACCACCCAGUGAUUGGUGAAAUGGGGACACUGAGAUGCAAGACUAAUAUGGAGAGAAUUCCACAUCUAGCCACCCCUCCCCACAAAGAGCCACAUUUCCAGGGGCUAGAGACUGGAAGUGGAGGGGGAAAUGGGGAGAUUGAACUUACCGUCCUGGGAAAUCUCAGCUCCACUGUGCAGAGACGCUUCUAACACAUCUCUCUCCCUUCCCUCCCUUGGAAGCCCCUAGAGGGCUUGGGCAGUCUUUGACAAACCAGCCGCCCUCCGGAGAAAAGCAAGAUCACCUCCGCCCUGAGGUCUCCUGGGUUCCGUGGCCGCCUUCUCCUCUGUCAUCUCCCUGGGUGAUGCCUCUCGGGUGCGGAAGCUGAACUUCCUGCGCUGCAGACUUGGGUACUCAGCGGGGCGCCCCCUUCUUGGCCCUCUGGCUCGGACUUUUCCUAGGGCUCUUAGCUCAAGGCCUGACUCCAGGCUCCCAGAAGUCGCGGGGGUGGGUGGGGAGGGAGCAGAGCAAGAGGAAGUCGAUUCGGACAGCCACAGUCCUGGUCCUCCCGGGUGCAACUGGAGACUGCCCAGGGCUGGGAGGACAGAAGGACCUACGGGUGGCAGCUAUCCAUGGUCCUGGCCGACAUCAAAGCGUGGAUGUCUAAGGCCAACAGCAGCCCAGCCGUAUUACAGUAAAACGGGUAAAGCAGUAAAACGGAGCUAUGGUAUUGGAAUUGGUUUUAAUUAACCCAGUUGCAGGCAGGCUAAUUAAGGUCUGAGUGCCGCGUUUCCGCACCUUCCCAACCAUGUGCCAAUUGUCAGGGUGAAUCUGAAAGUCUUUCCACUUCCUGCUAGUACUAUCUCCCCUUGUGAAUUAAAAAGAUGUUGAUGCCUCCCACUCUCUUAGCCUGCCUCCUCCGAUUCCUCCUCCAGCACCAUUCCCAGUUCAGGCAGAAAAGCCACAUGGCCCUUUCCUGCUUUACUCGCAAUCCCCAAGCCCCUGAAACUGGUCCUGAAAGUUUCAGGGUGGAAUGAAUUUGGGAUUGGCUUAAAAUUCACUGCCCUGGCCUGUAAGUCCAGGGGAUGAAGCUUUAAUUUUGUCAAAUAAAAACCGGAUCUUUGGGUCAGUGAGGUUUGAACCCCUUAAAGUGACAUAUAUACACUGCUGCUAAGUCAGUGAUUCCCCGUGCUGGGAGUGGGUGCUGUCCGCGGUGCUGAGACACUCACCUUCGGGAGGCUUAGAUAAGUAGGGCCCUUUCCCUUCACUUACAC
This is a long non-coding RNA of Bos taurus (domestic cattle), 1717 nucleotides long. Lineage: Eukaryota; Metazoa; Chordata; Mammalia; Artiodactyla; Bovidae. The record is from Ensembl.